CGCGCCUUUCGUUUUUCUGCUGCUUUUCACGUGUUAUUUUCGGUUCCCUUGCAGCCUUGUCCCACUCUCCCUCCCACAGUCUCUGGCCUUGUCCGCCGGUCCUCUGCUGCCCUCGUGUGGCUCUAGGUGGAAAGGCAGCUUCCCAGCCCCACCCAAGGUGCGGCUGGGGAUGGAGCUGGAGAUGAGCGCGAGGGGAUCCAGGUGUGGAUGGUCGGCACGGGUUUGGCUCCGCGCCUUUGACCUGGGCAAGAGAACAAGCAGAGGAGUCUGUAAUAGAGGAUGAAUUUUUUCUCCAGCUUUAUUGAGAAUCUCACAAAGUCACCAAGUUGCCCAGGCCGGGCUAGAACUUGUGAGCCUCCUGCCUGAGGCCUUUCCAGAGUGCUUUCCAACGUGCUGGGGUUACAAGUGGGCACCACUGUGCUCAGCCCAGGAAUCAACCAUUUCUUCAAUGAGUGUUGCGGACACAUUUUCAUCACUGAGAUACAAUAUGCAACACCUGCAACAUAAAGGAGGAGACAUUUAUUUUGGCUCACGUUUUCAGUCCAUGGUUGGCUAGCUCCAAGGCAGGAUCAAUAAGAAUGUUUACCCUGUGCUAUUGUAUGUCGACAGUGUUUAACUUUCUUGUAUAUUUAAAAGAAAAGUAAAAAAGUUAAAAGUUUCAAGUCUCAGAGACUUUGGAUUUAGACUUUUUAGCACUGCUGAAACUUAAGAAUUUGGUGACUCUUAGAGAUGGAUUAAACACAGUUUACAUAAAGAGACACGCAUGAGUCUUUUGGGACCAGGGUAGAAUACCAUAUAUCUAGAUGCUUCCCAAGAGCUGCAUGUGCUCAAAGGGGGACUUUUAAAG
This 847-nucleotide long non-coding RNA is filed under the name Heterocephalus glaber (naked mole-rat). RNAcentral describes it as "lncRNA (ENSHGLG00000040125.1)". Lineage: Eukaryota; Metazoa; Chordata; Mammalia; Rodentia; Bathyergidae. The record is from RNAcentral.